GAUGGUUAUCUAGCCCUUCAGUUUUGAGGUUGGUGUACUGUGUGUGAGUUUACAUGUUUAUCACACAAAGUCACUAUCCUCGAAAGUGACGGUGCACAU
This 99-nucleotide microRNA precursor is filed under the name Nannospalax galili (Upper Galilee mountains blind mole rat). Its description in RNAcentral is "microRNA 672 (ENSNGAG00000001842.1)". It matches the Rfam family "mir-672 microRNA precursor family". Lineage: Eukaryota; Metazoa; Chordata; Mammalia; Rodentia; Spalacidae. The record is from RNAcentral.